UUCCCUGAGUAGCGGCGAGCGAAACGGGAAAAGCCCAAACCAGCAAGCUUGCUUGUUGGGGUUGUAGGACUCCAAUAUGGUAGUUCUUUCAGAUAGUCGAAUGACUUGGAAAAGUCAGUCAAAGAGGGUAAAAACCCCGUAGACGAAAUGUGGAAGACACCUAGGAGGAUCCUGAGUACGGCGGAACACGAGAAAUUCCGUCGGAAUCCGGGAGGACCAUCUCCCAAGGCUAAAUACUCCCUAGUGACCGAUAGUGAACCAGUACCGUGAGGGAAAGGUGAAAAGCACCCCGGAAGGGGAGUGAAAUAGAACCUGAAACCGUGUGCCUACAACAAGUCAAAGCCCGUUAAUGGGUGAUGGCGUGCCUUUUGUAGAAUGAACCGGCGAGUUACGAUUGCAUGCGAGGUUAAGUUGAAGAGACGGAGCCGCAGCGAAAGCGAGUCUGAAUAGGGCGUUUGAGUAUGUAGUCGUAGACCCGAAACCAUGUGAUCUACCCAUGUCCAGGUUGAAGGUGCGGUAAAACGCACUGGAGGACCGAACCCACGUACGUUGAAAAGUGCGGGGAUGAGGUGUGGGUAGCGGAGAAAUUCCAAACGAACUUGGAGAUAGCUGGUUCUCUCCGAAAUAGCUUUAGGGCUAGCCUCGGAAUUGAGAAUGAUGGAGGUAGAGCACUGUUUGGACUAGGGGCCCAUCUCGGGUUACCGAAUUCAGAUAAACUCCGAAUGCCAUUCAUUCAUAUCCGGGAGUCAGACUGUGAGUGAUAAGAUCCAUAGUCGAAAGGGAAACAGCCCAGACCACCAGCUAAGGUCCCAAAAUAUAUGUUAAGUGGAAAAGGAUGUGGGGUUGCACAGACAACUAGGAUGUUGGCUUAGAAGCAGCCACCAUUUAAAGAGUGCGUAAUAGCUCACUAGUCGAGUGACCCUGCGCCGAAAAUGUACCGGGGCUAAACAUAUUACCGAAGCUGUGGAGUACACCUUUAGGUGUAUUGGU
Molecule: ribosomal RNA, 990 nt
Filed under: Enterococcus faecium
Lineage: Bacteria; Bacillati; Bacillota; Bacilli; Lactobacillales; Enterococcaceae
Description: partial 23S ribosomal RNA
Rfam family: Bacterial large subunit ribosomal RNA
Source: RNAcentral